This 244-nucleotide ribosomal RNA is filed under the name uncultured Methanimicrococcus sp. Its description in RNAcentral is "partial 16S ribosomal RNA". It matches the Rfam family "Archaeal small subunit ribosomal RNA", at positions 747 to 990 of the family's 1478-position model. Lineage: Archaea; Methanobacteriati; Methanobacteriota; Methanomicrobia; Methanosarcinales; Methanosarcinaceae. The record is from RNAcentral.
CCGGCCGUAAACAAUGCUCGCUAGGUGUCGGGUAUGGCGUGACCGUAUCCGGUGCCGUAGGGAAGCCGUGAAGCGAGCCACCUGGGAAGUACGGCCGCAAGGCUGAAACUUAAAGGAAUUGGCGGGGGAGCACAACAACGGGUGGAGCCUGCGGUUUAAUUGGACUCAACGCCGGAAAACUCACCAGGGGAGACAGCAAUAUGUAGGUCAAGCUGAAGACUUUACCUGAAUCGCUGAGAGGAGG